GACGAACGCUGGCGGCGUGCUUAACACAUGCAAGUCGAGCGGUAAGGCCCUUUCGGGGGUACACGAGCGGCGAACGGGUGAGUAACACGUGGGUGACCUGCCCUUAGCUCUGGGAUAAGCCUGGGAAACUGGGUCUAAUACCGGAUAUGACUCCAUGACGCAUGUUGUGGGGUGGAAANCCUUGUGCGGCUAGGGAUGGGCCCGCGGCCUAUCAGCUUGUUGGUGGGGUNAUGGCCACCAAGGCGACGACGGGUAGCCGGCCUGAGAGGGCGACCGGCCACACUGGGACUGAGACACGGCCCAGACUCCUACGGGAGGCAGCAGUGGGGAAUCUUGCGCAAUGGGCGAAAGCCUGACGCAGCGACGCCGCGUGGGGAUGACGGCCU
RNAcentral lists this ribosomal RNA (386 nucleotides) under uncultured bacterium. RNAcentral's name for it is "bacterial SSU rRNA". It matches the Rfam family "Bacterial small subunit ribosomal RNA", at positions 28 to 417 of the family's 1533-position model. The record is from RNAcentral.